Molecule: ribosomal RNA, 200 nt
Filed under: uncultured bacterium
Lineage: Bacteria
Description: partial 16S ribosomal RNA
Rfam family: Bacterial small subunit ribosomal RNA
Source: RNAcentral
CAGCCUGCAACUCGGCUGCAUGAAGCUGGAAUCGCUAGUAAUCGCGAAUCAGAAUGUCGCGGUGAAUACGUUCCCGGGUCUUGUACACACCGCCCGUCACACCAUGGGAGUUGGAAAUGCCCGAAGUCAGUGACCCAACCGAAAGGAGGGAGCUGCCGAAGGCAGGUCUGAUAACUGGGGUGAAGUCGUAACAAGGUAAC